AUAUAAACAUCAAUGCACCCAUCUUCAUGAUUAUCCUCCAUCGCAUCUGACCCUGCCAAAUUAAAAACAUAUUCUCUCUGUUAAAAUCGGAACGACAAAAAAUAGAUCCAGGAAAAAUACUUAAUGCACGAAAAGAAAAAGAAAAGAGGAAAGAGCACACCGAUAUUUUAGGUAGUUUGUCCAACGGCCUACGUCCACGGACGAAGACGGAGCAAAUACUUUAUUAAUGUCAAAAGGCGGAGUACAAAGAAGAUCUCUCAAAGAACCAAAACUUAAUUAGAUCGAAAACGCCGAAAUCCGCAUCCGUACAAGCGACUCCAAAUAAGCAGCUCGACUCCUCAACCGUACGGAUGGACCACCAAAAGCUUGAUUUAAUUUGCAUGGCUCUCUUACUUUGAGUCACCGCAUCGUUAACUAGGCCGUAGCAUGUAUAUAUAAUACAUGUCUCCCAACUAGUGUCUAAUCCUAAUUCAAUUAGAAUUAAACUCCUACUUAUAAUCCAUAUAUGCCAAAUUAAAUCUAAAUUAUAUCUAAUCUUAAUUAGAUUAGGAUUUAACUUCAAUUUAGAUAACUACAAAUCUAAACCAAAUAUAACAAUCUCCAUCUUGGUUUAAUUUGUAGUUUAGCCCCCACGAUGUCGAGGUCGCCACAAAACUUGAAAAAUAAGAUAAUGAACUAUAAACAAAGUUUUCAGUAGGUA
RNAcentral lists this long non-coding RNA (700 nucleotides) under Ananas comosus (pineapple). RNAcentral describes it as "long non-coding RNA (ACOM_LNC009203)". Lineage: Eukaryota; Viridiplantae; Streptophyta; Magnoliopsida; Poales; Bromeliaceae. The record is from RNAcentral.